This 162-nucleotide ribosomal RNA is filed under the name Ptychostomum pseudotriquetrum. RNAcentral's name for it is "Bryum pseudotriquetrum 5.8S ribosomal RNA". It matches the Rfam family "5.8S ribosomal RNA". Rfam says of the family: 5.8S ribosomal RNA (5.8S rRNA) is a component of the large subunit of the eukaryotic ribosome. It is transcribed by RNA polymerase I as part of the 45S precursor that also contains 18S and 28S rRNA. Lineage: Eukaryota; Viridiplantae; Streptophyta; Bryopsida; Bryales; Bryaceae. The record is from RNAcentral.
AGAACACAACUCUCAGCAACGGAUAUCUUGGCUCUUGCAACGAUGAAGAACGCAGCGAAAUGCGAUACGUAGUGUGAAUUGCAGAAUUCCGCGAAUCAUCGAGUUUUUGAACGCAAGUUGCGCCCGAGGCUUGUCCGAGGGCAUUUCCGCUAGAGCGUCACC